UACGGAGGGGGCUAGCGUUGUUCGGAAUUAUUGGGCGUAAAGGGCGCGUAGGCGGCCGACUAAGUCUGACGUGAAAUCCCCCGGCCCAACCGGGGAACUGCGUUUGAUACUGUUUGGCUCGAGUCCGGGAGAGGGUAGUGGAAUUCCCAGUGUAGCGGUGAAAUGCGUAGAUAUCUGGAGGAACACCGGUGGCGAAGGCGGCAUCCUGGACCGACAUUGACGCUGAAAGCCGAAAGCUAGGGGAGCAAACGGG
RNAcentral lists this ribosomal RNA (253 nucleotides) under uncultured bacterium. RNAcentral's name for it is "partial 16S ribosomal RNA". It matches the Rfam family "Bacterial small subunit ribosomal RNA", at positions 524 to 776 of the family's 1533-position model. The record is from RNAcentral.